ACGCUGGCGGCAGGCCUAACACAUGCAAGUCGAGCGGUAGAGAGAAGCUUGCUUCUCUUGAGAGCGGCGGACGGGUGAGUAAUGCCUAGGAAUCUGCCUGGUAGUGGGGGAUAACGUUCGGAAACGGACGCUAACACCGCAUACGUCCUACGGGAGAAAGCAGGGGACCUUCGGGCCUUGCGCUAUCAGAUGAGCCUAGGUCGGAUUAGCUAGUUGGUGGGGUAAUGGCUCACCAAGGCGACGAUCCGUAACUGGUCUGAGAGGAUGAUCAGUCACACUGGAACUGAGACACGGUCCAGACUCCUACGGGAGGCAGCAGUGGGGAAUAUUGGACAAUGGGCGAAAGCCUGAUCCAGCCAUGCCGCGUGUGUGAAGAAGGUCUUCGGAUUGUAAAGCACUUUAAGUUGGGAGGAAGGGUUGUAGAUUAAUACUCUGCAAUUUUGACGUUACCGACAGAAUAAGCACCGGCUAACUCUGUGCCAGCAGCCGCGGUAAUACAGAGGGUGCAAGCGUUAAUCGGAAUUACUGGGCGUAAAGCGCGCGUAGGUGGUUAGUUAAGUUGGAUGUGAAAUCCCCGGGCUCAACCUGGGAACUGCAUUCAAAACUGACUGACUAGAGUAUGGUAGAGGGUGGUGGAAUUUCCUGUGUAGCGGUGAAAUGCGUAGAUAUAGGAAGGAACACCAGUGGCGAAGGCGACCACCUGGACUGAUACUGACACUGAGGUGCGAAAGCGUGGGGAGCAAAC
This 745-nucleotide ribosomal RNA is filed under the name uncultured bacterium. RNAcentral describes it as "bacterial SSU rRNA". It matches the Rfam family "Bacterial small subunit ribosomal RNA", at positions 33 to 773 of the family's 1533-position model. The record is from RNAcentral.